CGUAACAAGGUCUCCGUAGGUGAACCUGCGGNNGGAUCAUUACACAAAUAUGAAGGCGGGCUGGAACCUCUCGGGGUUACAGCCUUGCUGAAUUAUUCACCCUUGUCUUUUGCGUACUUCUUGUUUCCUUGGUGGGUUCGCCCACCACUAGGACAAACAUAAACCUUUUGUAAUUGCAAUCAGCGUCAGUAACAAAUUAAUAAUUACAACUUUCAACAACGGAUCUCUUGGUUCUGGCAUCGAUGAAGAACGCAGCGAAACGCGAUAAGUAGUGUGAAUUGCAGAAUUCAGUGAAUCAUCGAAUCUUUGAACGCACAUUGCGCCCUUUGGUAUUCCAAAGGGCAUGCCUGUUCGAGCGUCAUUUGUACCCUCAAGCUUUGCUUGGUGUUGGGCGUCUUGUCUCUAGCUUUGCUGGAGACUCGCCUUAAAGUAAUUGGCAGCCGGCCUACUGGUUUCGGAGCGCAGCACAAGUCGCACUCUCUAUCAGCAAAGGUCUAGCAUCCAUUAAGCCUUUUUUUCAACUUUUGACCUCGGAUCAGGUAGGGAUACCCGCUGAACUUAAGCAUAUCA
RNAcentral lists this ribosomal RNA (570 nucleotides) under uncultured fungus. Its description in RNAcentral is "eukaryotic LSU rRNA". The stretch from base 208 to 361 matches the Rfam family "5.8S ribosomal RNA". The record is from RNAcentral. Lineage: Eukaryota; Fungi.